GAAUUAUUAUCAAAUUUAAGCUGCUAACUUAAAAAAAAAUGAUUAAACCCAUUUAUAAUUCU
This 62-nucleotide transfer RNA is filed under the name Archipsocus nomas. Its description in RNAcentral is "tRNA-Ser". Lineage: Eukaryota; Metazoa; Arthropoda; Insecta; Psocodea; Archipsocidae. The record is from RNAcentral.